Molecule: ribosomal RNA, 301 nt
Filed under: uncultured bacterium
Lineage: Bacteria
Description: partial 16S ribosomal RNA
Rfam family: Bacterial small subunit ribosomal RNA
Source: RNAcentral
CAGUCGCCGCGGUAAUACCGAGGGUGCGAGCGUUAAUCGGAUUUACUGGGCGUAAAGCGUGCGUAGGCGGCUUCUUAAGUCGGAUGUGAAAUCCCUGAGCUUAACUUAGGAAUUGCAUUCGAUACUGGGAAGCUAGAGUAUGGGAGAGGAUGGUAGAAUUCCAGGUGUAGCGGUGAAAUGCGUAGAGAUCUGGAGGAAUACCGAUGGCGAAGGCAGCCAUCUGGCCUAAUACUGACGCUGAGGUACGAAAGCAUGGGGAGCAAACAGGAUUAGAGACCCCGGUAGUCCCUGUCUCUUAUAC